UUGUGCACAGGGCAAGGAUCUAAUCCUAUUUGGUCUUGUACUUAUGUGCUUUUGGUUUUUCAAUCUUAUAUUGUACCGUACGAUACAACGUCUUAAGAUUUGGACCGUUGGAUCAAUCCAUUUGUAUGAUCCUUGACAAAGAGGCGGAUUUCGAAACGAUACCCUCGUAUCAUCAAUUGCAAUUAUGCAAGAGCUCUCUUCAAACCUUUUAAUUAUCACUAAUUAUUAAUCUUUUUUAUUAAUAUAGUAUUUUUCUUUUUUUUUUAAUUUUUUUCUUUUCCUGGAAUUGGAUGGAAAACUGUUGGAAUUCUCCAUUGUUUUCAUCUACCAUUUAUUAAUCAUUAAUCUUUUGUUUUCUUCUCUCUUUUUUUUUUUAUUUAUUUUUCUGGAGAAACGCUUCCUUCUUUUCACCUUUUUCUUUCCACCAAAUGUUUUGUUUUUGACUAUGCAGCAGUGCAAAUGGCCUAGUGGGUACUUUCUGCUUCAUAUAUAAUUUUUAAUGUUUUUCCUGGUUGAAGAAUUGGGUUUGGAUCUGGGAAUUCAGGUUCAAGGUUGUUCAUCAUCAAGGUUUUCUGAACUUUGUUUUAGGCUCUCUCUUUUUCUGUGAAUUUUAAGGUUAGGGUUGUUUAUGCUUGUAAAAUUUUAGCAUAUUUUAAGUCUUUUUGCUUUUAAUUGUUUUCCUAAGACUUUUUUUUUUUUGGCUUUGAGUGAGAAAAACUCAUCUUUGUUUCUUCUAGAAAUCUUAAUAAUGCUUUAGUUUGGACUUUAUUUUUAGGUCUUUUUUUUUUUAAACCGACUUGGUCUUGGUUGCUGAGAAAUAUGGAGAAAACAAAGACUAGAAAAAUUUUGGUUUAUUUGCUCUUUUUGUGUGUUUGUGUGCGUGUGUUUAAACAAUAUUAUUGGCUAUUUUUUUAAUAAAAAAUUUGCAAAUCUUAAGUUGUUUGAUCAGUUUUUUAAAUUGUUUAUCCUUAGUCCUUAGAAAUUGUUUAUGGCUGAAGCUAGGCCUUUAUAAUAUAUAUGCAUGAUUACAUCUAAAAGUUCCCCCUUUUUCCAUCAGCUUGUCCUGUUAGGGAGACUCUGGUGGGUUUUUGGUGAUAACUAGCUGCAUCUAUAACGAAAACUAUAGAUAGGAUAGGAAAGGUUCCCAGGAUAUUUCUUUGUAAAUUUAGAUCAAAGUUGUCAUUUGUCACUGUAUGUGAUAUUACUUAUUUUCAGAAUCAAUGCUUUCAAAAUUAUGUUUUAUGGAACUAUCUUGUCUUGAAUCCUAUGCUGUUACCUGAUAUUUUGACUUUUGAUUCUCGUUAUAUGUUUUUAAUUAUCCAAAGUUCAAAUUCCUGUCUGUUAAAAGGAAACCCCAUCUACUUUCAUGUUUGAAAAGAACCCAUAUUUCUGUCAGCACUACUAUAUGUAUCAGACAGUAUUAUACCUUUGUGUUUUCGGUCCUAUUCAUGGGAAUCUUAUGAUUGUUUUUCUUUGUGUUUCUUCGAGUGUCAUAGCUGAUGAUGUUUAUGAAUAUAAGAUAUUGGUGACUUCAAAGAAAUGUUCUUAGAUGCCACUUUGUCUAUACAGAUUUUGCGCAUAGAGGAUUAUGUAAUUAUAAGUGUUUUCUGCAUGUACUUACAUGAUAUUUUUACAUUUAUCUUUAAUUUUUCGGGAUUGCUAGAAUCAUGAGUUUUGGAUGCAUUUCUACUACUUUGGAGUCAAUGGAAACUGAAUUUAUGAUGUUCUAUGACAGUCAAUAUAACAAAACCGCUUGUACUUUCUAAAUUUUACUUUGAGAUUUGAUAUAUUAUCAAAUGAUAAUGAAAGAGAGCACGCUAAUUUUUAUUUAUGUAAGGACAUAGUUGUGUACAAGCGUGCUCUUUAUCGUUGUCAUAUGAUCUGUACAAAAUUAUCUUUUCUCAGUAUCUAUCUUUGUUGCCGCAAUACAGGUAACUCAACUUUCUCAUACAGCUAAAAUUUGAAUUUUGCGUUAAUUCUUUUAAUGAAACAUUAAUCAUCAAUUUAUUGUUUGAUCAUUUAUCUAUUGUUUUAUGUACAUAUGUGUAUUUUUUGUCUAAUCAUUCAUUAGUUCCUGAUAUACUUUUUAACUUUAAUAUAUAUUUGUAAUCCCUUCUUCGUUGUUGGUGAGUCUACAAUGAUUUGCUUCUCAAGAUGCAAUAGUUGCUCUAUACAAAUGGUUUUUUUGCUUUGCGCCUUUAGGGCACAGGUUAAGUUAUUUCUUUCAGAAAUAUUUUUGCUUUCAUUGCAUUGAAAAUUAAAUGCAAUACAAGCCUUAAAAUUCUUGUUUGAUAUGUUAUCUUAACCUAUGCACAGGUAAAAAAAAAAAAACCAUUUGCAAGAUGUAUUGAAUUUGUCAAAGAGAGAGAUGGAUUAUAUUUCUUUGAUAUUAUGGGAAGGUCUUUCAACACACUCUUCGAACAUUAAGGCACAGCUUAUGAUAAAUAUAUGAAAAUAAUAAAUAUUUAGUAUAUGAUAACAUAAUUAAGCACUAAAGAUCAUUUUCAAACUUAAUCUUGAACUUUAAAUAAGUUUUGGAAUACACCUACAUCAUUAAUGCAUUAAGUAAUGAAUUGAAGAUGUUUCUUAUUCUCUAAUAUAAUAUUCUAAUGAGCUAAUCUUGUUUAGGUAUUUUUAUUUAUAUCUGCUGUGUAAUUUGUGGUGCAAUCAAAGUAACUGUCAUUAUAAUUGUCACCAUUGUUGUACCACCACCAAUUCUUGCUUCACUACCUUCCUUGCCAUGAAAAUAAGUGUAGCUAUUUUCACUACUACAAUUUUUAAUGAUUCUACUAGUAUUGGGUCUAUAAUGACAACUACUAUAACCAUUAGGUGUUCAGUUUAAAUUAUUGAAGAUGGGCUUUGGUAGGUGUCUUAUAGAUAGGAAGUGCCUGUUUUGGAUAUCUUGCUUGAUAUCAACAUAAAAUUACUGAUGAUAGAGUGAUUUGUAUUUUAUAGUAAGAAGGGUACUUUUGUCCAAAAAUUUUCCCUCAUCUUUACAAAUUGGUUAUGAAAUAUGAAUCUUCUUAAGUUUGAUUGACUCUUAAUUACUUAAACAAAGCAAUUAAGAUUACCAACAAGACAUAAAAGCUGCCUUCUUUAAGACUUUUACACUGUGUUUUUUCUUUCUUCUUUUCCUUGGAUUGGUUAAGUGUUUUUUCUCAACUUCUAUUGAAAAAAAAAUUGGAAAAAAUUGUUUAGGUUAUUCCUUAUCUAAAAUGGACUAUAUUGCUCAGAUGAAGGUCCUUUGGAUUAGUAGUUUAUCUGUAAUGUUAAUAUUAUGUUUUCUUUAUUGAAAUUUAUCAUAUUUGUUUAAUUUGACAAAAUGAUUUUCUAGAUGACUGGCCAAUGGCAAUAAGAUUUUGUCUCAUAAUUCUCACUUAUAAGUUUUAUUGUGAAUAAUUUGAUUUUUAGUUUGCCAUUCUCUAGUUGAGAUCUAAACUUUAAUCACUCAGAUGAUAUGGAUUUGAGGGAAUGAAGUUAUUUUCAUCAUUAGAAAGAAGAAAUGGAAAACUCAUUGAGAUGUUAGAUCCAUAUAGCUACAUGUAUUAUCUAUUUUGUUUCAAGUAUUCAAUUAAUUAAAGUUAUGUUCUUAGGAUUGUACUUUGUAUCUACUUAAAUAGCUAGAUUCAGUGGUCCUUUUUUCCUCAUUGCACUAAUACACACUUAUAUUAAGAAAGUUGUAUCAUUGUUACGGUAACAGAAUGUGAUUUUGGUGUGUUGCAGGUUUUUGUUUGUAGUUUGUGUUUGUUUUCACAAUCAUGUUAAGUUUUUAUUGUUAGUUUUGAUCCACAGUGCUUAUCUUUGGCAUAUUUGAAUGAUUGUAGGAUGUUCUUUUAUAUAUUGUCAACAUUUAAAACAAAUUAUUUGUUAGAUUCCUAAUGUAGUACUUAUUCAUGCUGGCUUUGCAAUUUCUUUUCUUAAUUCAAGAUUAUAGGGUCUAUUCUUCUUUUGAUUAUAUUGUUCUUUGUAGGCUGUAUACAUAUCUUGCUUAUAUGCUGUGUGUUGUAUAAGAGUUUCCUUGUCACCUUGAUUUUCGCUAAUGUGAAAGAUAAGUUUGUCUAGGUAACUUAUUUGCCACUGCUUUUUGGAUGUGUCUUAUAUUUUAUAAUAACUUUUACUGAAAUUUUUACUUGACAAAGAAAAAAUUAAUGUUGAAAAGUGUUUGAUGAUUCCUAAUCUAAAAUGGAGUGGAUUGUUUAUUUUAUUUUUUGAAGAUGUAUAAUAUGGAAAUUCUAUGUUUUCUUUAGUGAAGUUUAUCAUAAGGUUCAUAACAUUUAAGAUUGACAUAAAAUCGAAAGGAUGCCUGAUGAAUUCAAAAAGAAAAUACUUCGGAGAUCUUUUGAAGGUAGUUUUAUCCAAUGGCUAAUAAAGAUAUCAUUGGUAUACUGGUUUUAUUGGCCAUGCAUGCAUCAAAUGCCAUUUUCAUCUAUUUGGAUUUGAUAAUAAAAAUAUUUGUAUGUAUGUCAAUAAUGUUCUUUACCAUGAUAAAAAAACUAAUACGAAGCAAAGCAUUAAUAGUAUUAAUUAUCUUAUCUUAAUAGUACAGGCAACUUAGUAGAUUGAUCGGGAAAACUCAAUUACAUUACUGCUAGCACUAUUUUGUUUUAAAGAACCAAAAUAAGACUCCUGAGUUGAUUUUGAUAAUAUAAUCUCAAUGAUAUGAUUGUAAUCUUUGUUAUAUUCAAUUUUGUAAGAUGUAGCGGUAGUCUCAGACGAACUUAAAGUUUGGGUUUUGAAUAGUAAUAAUCCAAUGUAAUCUUCAUGAUCUAUCGAUGAGAGUUCAGACGCCUAACUGGCCUGCCCCAUUAUUGUUUGCCGAAGUUUUAGGGCUUUUAGUUUACCUAAGUUAAGGCUCAUUUUAAACUCUAAUAAUGAUUUCAGCAGGAUAGUUUUAGUCAGUUUUGAUUUUUGAAGUAGUCUAAAAAGUCUUUAUAAGUACCUAUAUGAUCUUCAUCUUUCUCUAGGAUUUUGUUUAAUGAAAUUGUGAGUACUUUGUUUUCAUUAGGCAUGUAUGCUUAGUGAAAUGUCUUAUACUCUUGCUCUCUUCGUCAUCUUCUUCUCUUUUUAUUGCUAUGGCAUUUUCAACAUGCUGAUCAUUGCACAAAAUAACCCUUUAAACUUCUACAUUCAAACUUUUUUGUUACAUUAAUUUCUUGCACUCUUUUGAUUCUUAAUUGGUUCAAACCAGAAUUGAUUCCUAAACCUUAAGAUUUAGUUCUACCAUUGCAAAAACUAAAAUCAUUUUCUACCUUUAGGCCACCAUUAUAAGCCCUAAUGUGGUAGGUUUCCCCUAAUUUGUUCUACUUAACGCAUACUUUGGCGUAGAAUGUAUUAAUAGCAUGUAUUAGUGAAUGACUCUUAUGUUGGUUUGAAAUGCAAACGCAUGUGGAGGAAUUGACUUUAUUAAAGAUAUUAAUAGAUAAUGUAAACAGAUUUUUAAUUGCUAAAAAAAAUUUAUACAUUUUAUUGUAGUUUCUUGAUAUUGUUAAAUCUUGUUUGGAAAAAUUGAUAAAUUUAUUUAGAAAAUUUGUUGGGAUAUCUAUAUAUAUUGAAUUUAUCUGGUUUGAGAUGAAGGUUUGUUGAUCUACUAUAAUUGGUUUUUAUAUUUGUAUAAAUUAAGGAAUUGGGUUUAUUUAUUUUCUGUAGGAUAAGUGAUGUAUAGACAUAAAACAUUGUGUUUGAUAGGAGAGAGAGAGUCUUUCAAUCAUCUCAUUUGUUUGGUAGGAAGGAAAUAGGAAGAAGAAAAAUGAGUGGAUUUAUACCUUUUCCUUUCUCCAAAUCCAAUCCUUCCAAAUAUGAGAAGAAAAUACUUAUUCAACUUAAAUUAACAAUUUUAUCUCUAACAUCUUUCUUUCCCUUUAUUUUCCAUCCUCCAAACAAACACAUUGAAGGAAAAAUAACUUUCCUUUUAUGUUUGCUCACCUUUUUCCCUUCUUUCCAUUUUCUUUCCUUCCUACCAAAUAUAGUGUAAGAGAUAUAAAAUAUAAAUACUAAGAAUAUUUGAGAUCGUGGCCUUCAUUAGUUGUAUGAUUGAUUUAAGUUAGAAUGAUAUCUUUAACUUGAAAUCUUAUGCUUCUUUCAAGUUAUUGAAUAUACAGUCAAGGGUUUUAUUUUACUAUUUUUUUUUGUGUUAUUAGCAUUUUCUAAAUGUUUAGCAAUUAUUUUGUCAAAAUUCUAUGUUUUUUUCUUUUCCUUGCAAUAUAGAACAAGUUUAUGAGAUUUGAGCAGCGUUAUAUGUUAGGUUUUAUGAGAUAUCUUCAGCUGUUAUGUUUCUUUGGAUUUUUCAUCUACCAAAAUGUAACCAAUCCUACUUCAAAGAAACCAUUGGAUUUCAACCCUAAUUUAUUGUUUAAAGUCAUAGCAUAGUUCAAAAAUAGCUUUCUAAACCUUGAUUUUUUUCGUAAAGUAUCCAUACUUUUAAAUUUUGACCUCAGGUAACUCUAAAACCUAAAAGUUACUGCAUAAAACCCAUAUUUUCAUUACUGAAAAUUUUCAUUCAUCCAAAGAAAGCAGGAAUGCUGGAUAACUUACUAUAAAUAGUACAAAGCUGCAGAAUAGCGCUGAAACAACCGCAACCACCAGAUAAAAAAUAAGACAAAGGGACCCUCAUGAAAUAGCAAAUCAAAACAUCUAAUCCCUAACUUUGACAAAAAGCUUUGGUUAAGGCUUGUUCGUUGUAACAGAGGAGUCUGUAUACUCUUUUUUCCUACUUUCCAACAAGGCAUCAUGAUCAAGAAACCUCUCAUCCUCCUCUUAGCUAGCAUCUCAUUGUCAUAUUGAGAAAAAUUUUGGAGGUAAGUGCCCUCACUUCCUCUCUUCCUUUAACCUCAUUGUUCUCCUAAAAAAAUUGAAUUUCAUUCAAAGAUAAAGGUGUUCAAGGUUUCAAAUCCUUCUUUUUUCUUCUUUAAUUUCGUCAUUUUGUUAUGUUCUUUUUAAUUUGCCAUUUCAAUUUUCUUCAACAAAAUAAAUAAGAGGAAAACAUAUAUAUGAUCUUGAGUUUGCCCUCUUGUGCUUGUUAUCUUAAUUUUUCAUGGUGUAUUUUGAAGUGUAAAAAUUUGUGACAAAUAUAAUUAGACCUGCGAUUUAUGUAUUUGUGUCAUAUAAAAUAUUGAAAGCUGUGUAUUCUCGUUGUGUUUUAUACAAAAAUUACUUGUCACAAUUCAUGUCAACAUAAAAACAUGAAACAUAUAUUUUUUUAUUUGUUAAACUCAUAUAUAAUUAUUGUUAAAAUUUUAGAUAACGUCACAUUUAUCCUUUUUUUGUGUCGUAUUCAUAUCACGUCAUUAUAUUAUAUUUUAGAUUGUUAGGCCUAAUGGGUCUACCUAUGGUAAUAUUUUGUUGUCCAAAUGAUAGGUGAUGUAGAGACAAAAAAAACUCUAAUAGUGUGUUCGGUAAAAGGGAAGAGAAAGGAAAGAUGGUGAAAAAAAAAGAUUACCUUGUUUACACCUUUUUCUUUCAUUUGGUAGGAAGAAAAUAGGAAGCAAGAUGGAAAAUGAUUGGAUUUAUGCCUUUUCUUUCUCUCUAAAUCCAAUCCUUCCAAAUGUAAGAGGAAAAUACCCAUUCAACUUAAAUUAACAAUUUUAUUUAUAAUAUUACCCCUAACAUCUUUUUUGCCCUCUAUCUUUCAUUCCAAUACCAAACUGCAAACACAAUGAAGGAAAAAUAACUUUCCUUCCUCCCAUUCCUUUUUAUUCCUCACCUUUUCCCCUUCCCACCACUUUCUUUCCUACCAAACAUAGUGUGAGAAAAAUAAAAAAAUAAAUACUAAGAAUAUUUGAGAUUGUAGCCUUCAUUAGUUGAGUGAUUUAAGUUAGAAUGGAUACUAUUAAGUUGAAAUAUUAUGCUUCUUUCAAGUUAAUGUACAUACUGUUGUCUUGAGCAGAGAUUUAAAUUGUAGUUGUGAUCGUAUUUUCGGUUUGUCAUGUUUAUUAUAGUUACAAACAUAACAGAUAAGAUAACAGUAAUCACGCUUAUCGCGAUCGUGAAAUUUUUUUAUUUUUGAACAACUCAUCACAAAUGAAGUAAAUAUUAUGGAUACUCAUUAACACUCAUAUUUUAUAUUAUUUAAAAAAUUUUAAAACAUUUUAAUUACAUUUUUUACAUG
Durio zibethinus is the source of this 8104-nucleotide non-coding RNA. NCBI's taxonomy places the organism in Eukaryota, Viridiplantae, Streptophyta, Magnoliopsida, Malvales, Malvaceae. The record is from RefSeq and is a predicted model, not a curated record.